CUGACAUCCCUGGAAACUGAAGUCUUCUACCAACACAGCUGGGUCAAGCUUCCACAUGUUGCCUCAAUCCUGACCUUGAGGGAGUACCUCUAGGAGUGAGAGUGUAGUUUGGUCUCCAUCACCAUUGAGGCCUUGGCCUCU
RNAcentral lists this small RNA (141 nucleotides) under Chrysemys picta bellii (western painted turtle). Its description in RNAcentral is "TUC338 (ENSCPBG00000000722.1)". Lineage: Eukaryota; Metazoa; Chordata; Testudines; Emydidae. The record is from RNAcentral.